UACAGAUUGAACUCCUGUUCUAC
Molecule: non-coding RNA, 23 nt
Filed under: Cricetulus griseus (Chinese hamster)
Lineage: Eukaryota; Metazoa; Chordata; Mammalia; Rodentia; Cricetidae
Source: RNAcentral